Nannospalax galili (Upper Galilee mountains blind mole rat) is the source of this 135-nucleotide small nucleolar RNA. RefSeq annotates it as small nucleolar RNA SNORA17. The transcript has a single exon. The record is from RefSeq and is a predicted model, not a curated record. NCBI's taxonomy places the organism in Eukaryota, Metazoa, Chordata, Mammalia, Rodentia, Spalacidae.
UUUUUAUAUUAAGAAUUAAAUUUUGAGGUAUGGCUGCCAUGUCACAUGUGUGUCAGUAGGUGGCAGAGAGGAGAGAGGCUAUGUCUAUGCUAUGUUCUUACCAGUGAACAUCUGAAUGAUCAGUAGCCUGAUAGU